GGGUGGAAGGUUGGAUCUUCGCA
RNAcentral lists this microRNA (23 nucleotides) under Tribolium castaneum (red flour beetle). RNAcentral describes it as "Tca-Mir-750_5p* (star (passenger))". Lineage: Eukaryota; Metazoa; Arthropoda; Insecta; Coleoptera; Tenebrionidae. The record is from RNAcentral.